RNAcentral lists this ribosomal RNA (371 nucleotides) under uncultured organism. RNAcentral's name for it is "bacterial SSU rRNA". It matches the Rfam family "Bacterial small subunit ribosomal RNA", at positions 526 to 896 of the family's 1533-position model. The record is from RNAcentral.
CGGGGGGGCGAAGCGUUGUUCGGAAUUACUGGGCGUAAAGGGUGCGUAGGCGGCUUUCUAAGUCGGAUGUGAAAACUCUGGGCUCAACCCAGAGCCUGCAUCUGAAACUGGAGAGCUAGGGUUCUGGAGGGGAAAGCGGAAUUCCUGGUGUAGCGGUGAAAUGCGUAGAUAUCAGGAGGAACACCGGUGGCGAAGGCGGCUUUCUGGACAGAUACCGACGCUGAGGCACGAAAGCUAGGGGAGCAAACAGGAUUAGAUACCCUGGUAGUCCUAGCCCUAAACGAUGGAUACUUGCUGUGGGGGGAUUGAAGCCCCUUGUGGCGAAGCUAACGCAUUAAGUAUCCCGCCUGGGGAGUACGGUCGCAAGGCUG